GAUCAUGGCUCAGGAUGAACGCUGGCGGCGUGCCUAAUACAUGCAAGUCGAACGAGGUAGCAAUACCGAGUGGCGAACGGGUGAGUAACACGUAGGUAACCUGCCCUUAAGCUUGGGAUACCCAGAGGAAACUUUGGCUAAUACCGGAUAACAACAGAGAAGGCAUCUUCUUUGCUUGAAAGGCCCCUUCAAGGGUCACUUAAGGAUGGACCUGCGGCGCAUUAGCUAGUUGGUGAGAUAACAGCCCACCAAGGCGAGGAUGCGUAGCCGAACUGAGAGGUUGAUCGGCCACAUUGGAACUGAGACACGGUCCAAACUCCUACGGGAGGCAGCAGUAAGGAGUUUUCGGCAAUGGGGGAAACCCUGACCGAGCAACGCCGCGUGAGCGAUGACGGUCCUUUGGAUUGUUAAAAAGCUCUGUUGUAAGCCAUGAAUGACAGCUUGAGGAAAUGCAAGUUGUUUGACGACAGCUUACCAGAAAGCCACGGCUAACUACGUGCCAGCAGCUGC
RNAcentral lists this ribosomal RNA (510 nucleotides) under uncultured bacterium. RNAcentral describes it as "bacterial SSU rRNA". It matches the Rfam family "Bacterial small subunit ribosomal RNA", at positions 15 to 518 of the family's 1533-position model. The record is from RNAcentral.